UGUCUAAAAUGGUCACAUUACCCAGGCAAGGCCAGAGUGUCCUUCCCUGUAACUUUACAAUCUGUUGCUAGGAAAGCUCCCUGUUUCCUCUGAGGUCUUGAGCUGAGAGGCUGGAAACCAGAAGCCACCCAUGACCAUUGGCAUCAACAUACUGCCUAUACCCAUAGGUUCAAAAAAAUCGGCCAGCAGAAGGAAAGAAUGAGGCCAACGACCGGAGAGAAACACAGCCAAGAGAUGGAGAAAGGGAGAGUCUAAGAUACUACUGACAGUCAUCUGAGUCCCUGUAGGCUCUGAUGUCAGCACCAAUCUAGAACUUUCCAGUGGCAUAAGCCACUAAAUUCCUUUGUUUCCUUAGGCCAAUUUGAGUUGGGUUCUGUUACCCUGAACUGAAAGUCUCUAAACACCAAAAAACUGUGGUGGUGAUGCCAAUAAGCUAACUGCUCACACCAGCUCUUUAUGGCUUCCCAGAGGAGCAAGCAACCUAAUGCUGUAGACUGGCUGGCCUUGUGCUGGACCAGUGAUGAAGACAGCAAACAAGAUACUCUGGCCCUUUAGCCUGAAGAAGAAAAACCAAAACCAGAUUCCAUAUUCUCCCAAUCCAGGAUCUUGUCCUAUAGUAGUAUGUUGCCACCACCUGAACAUCAGUCUAGCAGACCUUUUACCUUAUUAUGCAGAAAGCACACUUGGCAUGAAAAGAAAGGGUAUCCUCGGCUAGAUUUGCUUCUGUCAUGGCUGAAAAGGUGAAGUGACCCGCUCUGAAAACAUGAAGCCCUUGGACUCUCAGGUCACUGCAUAGGGUGUUCUAAUUAGAAAAACAAGUGUAGCAUUUUACCCACCAACACAGUGGUGACAUUUGGUGAAGUUCUAAAAAUCUUUAAUUAUUACUUACACUUUACAUAUUUACCAAAAUGUUAUGUAUCUCCUUGAUAUUUAAUAAAAUCACUUUUAAAAUCCUAUAGUUAAGAUUCCUGUGAACACAAGGGAAAAGGUCAAAUGAAGAUUUGAAUGAGCACAGGCUGUAGAAAAUACACAGCGCUCAUACUGCAGUCUCUUUGAAGUGCAUACAGUGCCAGAGAAAGUAAGUUAGACAUUCAGUAAUUGACAUUCAGUAAAAAACACUCCUGGGAUAUCUACUGAGUGACUGCUUCCUUGAUGUGGCAUCUAUGGCCAAUCACUGAUCACUCGUGGCACAGUACUGCUCUAACAUUUCCAUUGAUUUAUUGCUGGAAAUUUGAUUUUUUAUUUUUGUGUGGUACCCAGAAAGAAAAAGCUAGCUGCUGAAUUAGCUUUUGAGAUUCAAAGGAGAAUUAGAUGAAACUAGGACACGUAUGGAAUUAAAUACCUAUAAACAGAUCAAUCGUUUUCUAGCUAUAAAACAAAAAAGUCGCUUAAAGAGAAAAAAAGAUGCUAUAACUCAGAAAAAAACUAAGUCCUGAAUUCUGUAAAAUUUGCACCUAUAAAUCAGUCUUCGCAGUGUGACAUACUAUAAGGAUUAGUAACAACAACAACACUCUUUUCUUUUUCUCUCUUCUUUAUAUUUUUAUUUUUGACAAAGCCCUUAAACAGAAUGUUGUAUAUAUCUUGAAAUUUCAGGAAUAAUUAACCACCAUAAAAACAAACGAAAUCACAAGCCUGUACCCAAGGAAAACAAUAAAUAGAUUUUCAAACCUCUGACUUGUUGCUCCAUCAAAGCAGAUAUGUCCUCUUGAUUAAGGAUCAUUUUGAGAAAAAGAGACACAGUCGAUGGUCAACCUGCACCUUCAUUCAGUAUUCCCUACUGAAACAGAUGGCAUCUUGGGCAUGUUGAAUCUCCCAGAAUAGGUGCCUAUUAGCAAGACAACUCUUAAAUCUUCCAGAUACCAGGAAAUGCCUUGCCCUAAUUAGGCUACACUUUCCCAUUGCCUCCACAUUUUCAUUCUUACUCAUUGUUCUAGCAAUUUGGAUUCUGCCCCAUACCAUUGGAAUGAAAUUGUUCUUCCCUUAACCUCUUUUGAGUCUCAAUCCUGGUCCAUCUUUUUGCACAGCUCCACAGUUGACCCCACCUCCACUUCCUCCACCACCAGCUCCAGCAAAACACAUGCAGAGUCUUUCGCUCCUCCCUUGGCUUACAAUUUGGUUUACAAUUUUGCUCCUCCCUUGGUUUACAAUCCUAAACCUCUCCAAUUCUUCCUGGCUACUCUGCUCCUGCUCAGGCCCCUUCAUGCUUCUUCUCCUCUCCUCAGUAGUUAAAGGGAAGGAUGUACCCCAUGGUUUUAUCUUAAGCUCUUUUUAUUUUUGAGAUAGGGUCUUGCUCUGUCACCCAGGCUGGAGUGUGGUGGAGUGAAUAUG
RNAcentral lists this long non-coding RNA (2328 nucleotides) under Homo sapiens (human). RNAcentral describes it as "HSALNT0302552". Lineage: Eukaryota; Metazoa; Chordata; Mammalia; Primates; Hominidae. The record is from RNAcentral.